Molecule: small RNA, 28 nt
Filed under: Bombyx mori (domestic silkworm)
Lineage: Eukaryota; Metazoa; Arthropoda; Insecta; Lepidoptera; Bombycidae
Description: ovarian small RNA-25185
Source: RNAcentral
UCACCUCAGGAAACUUUUUGGUCUUUAC